CUGUAAGAUGGCUCACAGUAGUUUUCCUGCUCAUGUUCUGUGGGGUGAUAUUUUUCCCAUAUCUCUAUCAGCUUGCUUUGUGAUAGCCUGCAGUUUCUAAUGGAUCGAUACGUCCAUCCCUAGUGGGCUCGGGUGUCCUGAUACAUACUGCUUUCAGAGUUGAGAAUGUGUUUGUUGAAAGGACUAAAUUCCGCAUCUUCAUGUAUUUGCGUGGUGUCUUUAAGUCCUCUCAGGCUGCCACAUGUACAUAAAUGGGUCGUUUUUUGCUCUUUUGAUGACUGGAACCUAUGCAAGAAGCUCCAUCUCAUGAUUGCUUAA
Molecule: long non-coding RNA, 318 nt
Organism: Labeo rohita (rohu)
Lineage: Eukaryota; Metazoa; Chordata; Actinopteri; Cypriniformes; Cyprinidae
Exons: 5
Source: RefSeq, a predicted model, not a curated record